Non-coding RNA from Mycena polygramma, 92 nucleotides. Lineage: Eukaryota; Fungi; Basidiomycota; Agaricomycetes; Agaricales; Mycenaceae. The record is from the annotation of a GenBank genome assembly.
UCGGGCGUGGUGUACGGCACACCGCGAGUUGACGUUCCGAGCUUCAACAAAAUCACAUCUCGCAGUCCGGGGUUCGAGUCCCCGCGUCCGAA